Octodon degus (degu) is the source of this 3563-nucleotide long non-coding RNA. RefSeq lists it as uncharacterized. The transcript is spliced from 7 exons. The record is from RefSeq and is a predicted model, not a curated record. Lineage: Eukaryota; Metazoa; Chordata; Mammalia; Rodentia; Octodontidae.
GCAGAACCGCAGCUGCGGCAGCGGGUCCAAACCAUCCGCCCAGGAAGCGCCGCAACCCGGCCUCGGGAGGGGCGGAGGGGGCGAGGCAGGGGCCUCGGACCAAGGGGAGUCUUGGUCUCACUGUGCACCACACACUCUUUUUCCCAGAAGCGCAGGGCCACGCGAACAAAAUGAGGUUCAAGCUGACCAGGCCAAGCCGUGGAGGAAUGCUGGGCUUGACCGCAGAAGGGAUGGGACCAGAGAGGAGGGUGUCAAGGAGACCCCAGUAAGGGGCAGCACAUUUCAGGUAAAGAAAGGUCCUGUCUUCAUACCUCACUUCCUGACACAAACAAGUUUUUACUGUUGUCAGCAACAAAGCCCUAAUAUAGCUGCGGAGGAGAAAAACAGCAUUGCAUUUUUGUCUCCUGUGAGCAUCAACAGUUACCGGAGGAAUGUAAUUCCACAAAGCUUUAAAACUGGUGCUGAUGGUAAUUACGUAUCAAAAGCCUAACUCUCUGUUACUGUUUUGGCAUUUCUACAGUGAUAUGGAACUAAACUCACAGAGGGACAAAUCUUUUUUUUUUUUUAAUUUAAUCAGGCCGGCUAGAAAACUCAUUGCUCUUUGGGGGAAAUAAAGUAGGAGCCACGAAAUGUCAUUUUAACAGAGCGUGGGUUUUGUGACUGUAGAAAAGGAUUUAAGGACGCUCCUUCUGUUCGGCUUGCUGGGUAGGAGCACAGGCUGCACGCACGUACCGACGCCACAGCUCCCGGAUGCUUCCCCGAGCUUCUGCAGCGCCAGAAGCACCUUGGGGAUGCAGCGAGGGGCUCCCGAUGGGUGGUGGUACAAUAGCUUCGGCCGCCGCCACCAGUCCUGCCGCUGUUGUUGCCACUGCAGUCACGUGGGAACCCCUUUAAGUUUCCAUAGAGGCCUCUCCGGUGUCACAUGAUGGACAUGAUAUGAUGAAACAACAUUGUGGCGAGGAAAGCAUGAGGAGAGCCCACGGCUACAAAAACAAGUGAGUGAGAAGAGGUGGGAGGAAGAGAAACUACGCCACCUCCCUUGCAGCCGAGCGCACGCAGAAGCCCGGCGUGACAAGUGGGCGACGGCGGGGGGCGGGGAGUCUGGGGUCCUCGGCCCUGGCCAGAGCCCCCCGCUGCCCAUCGCGCCGCGGAGAGCAACUUUGCCGGCAGCUCGGCCACCAGACCUGCACCUGUCUCCAGUCUCCGUCACUCCUCGUCAUCAUCCCGGGGAAAUUCUCGAAGAAUACGCCGUACAAAUUACGUGCGCAUCAUUUUCCUCCGGCGUCUCACUCGCUCGGGAGGAAAGGACGGGAAUGGGAUGGAAGCGGCGUGCGUCGGCCGGGAGGAGCUUAAAUAAUUUUCAGAGCUAGAAGAAUUAGGAUGUUUCUCCGCCUCACUGACUGAGCUCAGCACUACCUGCUUCAGGAAAUGAUUGAGGACAACCUGGAAGCUGAGAAAAGAAUGAAAACAGCAGACGUACUUUCAGUGGAACCAAACAAACCACUGAACAGGUAACUGUAAUUGAUGCUAUCUUUUCCUGCUAAGGGUUGAGCAUUGCUUGCUGGAAAUACCUGGGACCAGAAGUGUUAAAAUUCUGGAUUUUCUUGGCUUUUGGAAUAUCUCCACGUGGGUUUUCAACAAAGGCAAAAAUGAAAUCCUUCAGCUAGGAAUUCCAGUGUGAAAUGAAACCCCCGAGAGGAGAAGACCAGUUGCCUCUCUACCUCUCCGAGUGGCACAGGUGAGAUUAGAACACCCGCUGAUGAUUCUCAUCCAGUGACCCGGACACAUCUGCAUACCCCUGCCUCCUAGUGCCCUGCUGUUGACACAUGGCAGAGCAGCCUCAGAGACAGAGUGUUCCUGGGAAGUAGGUUUCCAAAGCAGAUGCUCCUUCUGUGGAAAAGUCUAAGGGCUGUGGAGUCUACUGGAUGUCCCGCUUGCCUGUCCAGAUCUGCAUCCUGCUUCCCUGCAGCUGGCCCAUGACGUACCUUCAGGCUGGGCUCCGAACAAUCACACCUUUUCUGAUCCUGCCUGUGCAGAUCGCCAGGCAUCUUCCACUCCGGACAGAGGCACUUAUGAACGAUGUUAAUAAUGUGAGACAGGGGCCAGGGAGAUGGCUCAGUAGAAUAAGCACUGGCCUGGCAAGCUCAAGGGCCUGAGUUCAAUCCCCGGUUCCACCUCCAAACACAAACCAAUAAACGACAGAUCAGAUUUCUACUGAGUCUGUGCUCUUUGCCUCACCCUACAACCUAUACUUAGACAACUGGCUACAUGUUUGUGGCAUGAGGUGAGCCUGGAAGACAAGGCACAUGCUAGCGUACGCCCAGGUAAUACAUGUCAGCUCCAUUUAAAUUCUUCUUGAAUGAUUGAAAGGGGACCAAAAAAAGUGAAAUUUACAUACUGAAUGGACAGUGUCAGUAAGCAAAAUAGCGCCAAGACUAUUUGUGGGAACUGUAUGGGUCUGUUUCUUGAGCUGGGUAUUUGUGAAUGCAUUCCUAACUUUCAUUAGCUUGAUGCUCCUGUGAAAAAACAAUGUCUAUAAAAUUUACAUUGCAAGUAACUCCUGGGGCUGCUACCACCCUUUUUCUCAUUGCCCAGCCCAACAGCAUAUACCUAUUUUGUCUAGAGGAUGAGAGAAAAACAUAUUCUACCAAAAUACUUAUUUGACUUCUAUGUGGCCACCAUCAAUGAAAGAGACUGUCAGCUUAAAAAAAAAAAAGUCUGACACGUAAGUGGCCUUACGGCACUAAUGCGCCAAGAGUUGGUAGGUAUUUAUAUGAAAGUCUCUGUGUUCCUGACUGGGGGCUGCCCCUUCUAGAUGGUGGUAAGCUGGAGCUGCUGCAGCUCUCGCGACGCUAAGGUGAUAAGCAUGAGCAUGACAGCUAAAGAGGCGGAGAAAGCGGCAGGAACCUGGGUCCAGGACGACCCCACUGUCUUCUUCACCUCCCAAGAUUGCUCCAUAUGUCGUCAUCACCCACACACCCAAGGUGCUGUUGAUAUGGUUCUUGUUGCAAGAAGCCAAAGGCAAAAGUAAUCCAUGCGGUCUUACACACAGCUCCUGUUUCUCAACCUCAAAUUAAUCUCCCUUACAUUUAGGUGAAAGUGAAGUAGCCACAUUACCCUAAUUUUGAGUCUAGAUGUUGAGGCUCCUCAGUAGACUGUCAUACUCCUUAUCAUCAAAGAGAGACAGAUAAAUACUGCCUGGAAUUAUGUGGGAAUAAAAUGAAUAUAUAUAUAUAUAAUUUAUUAUUUAUUAUUUAUUUACAUGAAUAAUUAGUGACUUCAAGAUAAAAUACACCUGUACACACAAAGAAAUUAAACCUUCUAGAUUGGCAGAUAUUGAGGCUGCAAUACCAAGCAUCAGCAAGUUCAGGUGAGUGAAUUGGUGCGGCUGUUCUGGAGACCGGUGAAGGUGCUGCCAGUGCCGAUGAACGUAACGUGCUGCGCAGGCUUGAGUGCGGCACUGAGAUACUUAGCAGGAUGCUUACUGUCACACCGCUUUUUCUUUUCUUCCCCACCCCCUCAAAUAUUGGAGGUUGAACCCAGAGCCUAAGCUGCAUCCUAAG